Molecule: long non-coding RNA, 13413 nt
Filed under: Citrus maxima (pomelo)
Lineage: Eukaryota; Viridiplantae; Streptophyta; Magnoliopsida; Sapindales; Rutaceae
Source: RNAcentral
AAAAAAAAAAAAAACACUAACAAUUUUCAUAUCGAAUUCGAAGUGCCAUGCUAUUAUUACUUAAUAUUAAGAAUUCAUAUGGCGAAGGCAUAGUCUUCUUUUUUCUCUCAAAUAAAAAACUCAUUGGCGCCAAGCGUGAGGGAAUGCUAGACGUUUGGUACUUGCUCCGGCGGCCAGGAGAAAAGACCCCAUGGAGGCGGCCAAUCCCAUGCAUAUUGUCUGUACAUCGGGUCGCACAAAUUGCAUAGUAUCAUAAAUUGCUAUCCCGGGUAUUACCCAUCCGCCAGGAGAGUUGAUAAAUAAAUACAAAUCCUUGGUCUCGUUCUCUAUACUGAGAUAUACCAUAAUACCAAUAAGUUGAUUCGAGAUAUCGCUCUCAACCAUUUGACCUAAAAAAAGUAAUCUUUCUCGAUAAAGUCGGUUGAUUAGGAUAAAACAGUAUCCUUUCGGAGCCGUACAGGCAUCUUUUGAUGCAUACGGUUCAACAAAACUUGCGAAAAACAAAUCAAUGUGUAGCUCCUAGCCCCUUUCCUUUCUUUUUUCCUCGCUUCUAUCGAGGGGCUUUUCUUCCGGUUUUCAAGAACGCUGAGUUUAGCCGGUUUCCUAGACCUAUAAUAUUCUAAUAUAAAAAAGAAAUUCACUAAACUUAUCGACUUAUCGAACUAACUUUUCAUUGAUGUAUUUUUUCAUCGAGAUCCGAUCCAAAAAUCACGAUGCCAUUUUCUUGUUCCUGAAUUGAAUGGGCUUCUUCCAUUUUUUUAGGUUUAGGCUCUACUCCGAGUAAGGAUUCGCCCGAUUUUGAUUUGCACAUAUAAGACAAAUGACCCCAAUACCACGUCUCUUUUUUGCUAUGACUUACCCCUUUUUUAAUUCAUUUCUUUCAUGUCUUCCGCCAAAUAUUUGACAUAUUCAUCAUAUUUAGCAUUCCGUUGAUUAACGUUUGAGAUCGCUUUUCGAAUAAAGGAAUCGUUUAUGAUAUAAGUAAUAAUCAUAGAUAUAUUACCAAUUGGGUUUUUCUAAACGGAGCCUGGAUACCUCAUUUUAUUGGUCCAGCCAAGACGACCAUAAAAUUGAUUUAUUGCUAAUAUUAAUCUGGAUGCUUCCUCACGAAAUAGAUCUAAUUGCACUUCAUUGCAUUUCACGCUACAAAUUUUUGAUAAUUCAAUCAAUUUUUUGGGCGAAACAGAGGAUAUCUCGAUCGGGGGAGAGAACGGGGAAAUCCCAUAUGACCCAAUAGAUCUGACAAGUCGCACUAUAUGUCAACCCAAGAUGGAUGCUUGUCCCCGGGACUUCGAUAAGGUACUUUUGGAACACCAAUAGGCAUAAAAUGAAAGAAAAAAGAAUUAAGUACUCUAGUUCACUUUGAUGUGGAAGCGUAAUAAUGGGCUUCUUGUCUUAAUACUAGUGGCCGUUAUCUUAGUUUAUACAUAGAUUGACGAAGUUCAUAAAAUAAAGGAAAAUUAUUACGAAUAAGUCUUUUGAAUGAUGACCAAAUAUGGAUACAUUCGCUCAUAGAAAAGGGAAUCAACCCCCAUUGCGUAUUGGUACUUAUCGAGUAUAGAAUAGAUCUGCUUCUCUUUUUUCCUACGAACCGAACUCUUCCAUUAUUACUAAAAGAAUAGAACAAAUAUUAAUAUUAAUCCCUUUUUCGAGAUAAUCCCCUGAAAAAAGGGGUACAUAGCAUAGUUUUUUUCAAUGCAAUAAAGUUACAUAGUGUCUAUUUUUUAUUAAUAAAGGGGUAGUCCAUGGGUUUGCCUUGGUAUCGUGUUCAUACCGUCGUAUUGAAUGAUCCCGGUCGUUUGAUUGCUGUCCAUAUAAUGCAUACAGCCCUGGUUGCGGGUUGGGCCGGUUCAAUGGCUCUAUAUGAAUUAGCUGUUUUUGAUCCUCCGAUCCAGUUCUUGAUCCAAUGUGGAGACAAGGCAUGUUCGUUAUACCCUUCAUGACUCGUUUAGGAAUAACCGAUUCAUGGGGUGGUUGGAGUAUUACAGGGGGGACAGUAACGAAUCCGGGUAUUUGGAGUUACGAAGGUGUAGCGGGGGCACAUAUUGUGUUUUCCGGAUUGUGCUUCUUGGCAGCUAUCUGGCAUUGGGUGUAUUGGGAUCUAGCAAUAUUUGUUGAUGACCGUACAGGAAAACGUUCUUUGGAUUUGCCUAAAAUCUUUGGAAUUCAUUUAUUUCUCUCAGGAGUGGCUUGCUUUGGUUUUGGGACAUUUCAUGUAACAGGAUUGUAUGGUCCUGGAAUAUGGGUGUCUGAUCCGUAUGGACUAACUGGAAAGGUACAAUCUGUAAAUCCAGCAUGGGGUGUGGAAGGUUUUGAUCCUUUUGUUCCAGGAGGAAUAGCCUCUCAUCAUAUUGCGGCAGGGACAUUGGGCAUAUUAGCAGGCUUAUUCCAUCUCAGUGUCCGCCCGCCACAACGCUUAUACAAAGGAUUACGUAUGGGCAAUAUUGAAACCGUUCUUUCCAGCAGCAUCGCUGCUGUCUUUUUUGCAGCGUUUGUUGUUGCUGGAACUAUGUGGUAUGGGUCAGCAACUACCCCCAUCGAAUUAUUUGGUCCACCCGUUAUCAAUGGGAUCAGGGAUACUUUCAGCAAGAAAUAUAUCGAAGAGUCAGUGCUGGACUAGCCGAAAAUCAAAGUUUAUCAGAAGCUUGGUCUAAAAUUCCUGAAAAAUUAGCUUUUUAUGAUUACAUCGGAAAUAAUCCUGCGAAAGGGGGAUUAUUCAGAGCGGGUUCAAUGGAUAACGGGGAUGGAAUAGCUGUCGGGUGGUUAGGACACCCUAUAUUUAGAGAUAAAGAAGGGCGUGAACUUUUUGUACGUCGUAUGCCUACUUUUUUUGAAACAUUUCCAGUUGUUUUGGUAGACGGAGAUGGAAUUGUUAGAGCCGACGUUCCUUUUCGAAGGGCAGAAUCGAAGUAUAGUGUCGAACAAGUAGGUGUAACCGUUGAGUUCUAUGGUGGCGAGCUGAAUGGCGUGAGUUAUAGUGAUCCUGCUACUGUGAAAAAAUAUGCUAGACGUGCUCAAUUGGGUGAAAUUUUUGAAUUAGAUCGUGCUACUUUGAAAUCCGAUGGUGUUUUUCGUAGCAGCCCAAGGGGCUGGUUUACGUUUGGACACGCUUCAUUUGCUCUGCUUUUCUUCUUCGGACACAUUUGGCAUGGUGCUAGAACCUUGUUCAGAGAUGUUUUUGCUGGUAUUGACCCGGAUUUGGACGCUCAAGUGGAAUUUGGAGUAUUCCAAAAACUUGGAGAUCCAACUACAAGAAGACAAGUAGUCUGAUGCAGCAUUGCUCUACUAUUUUAGUUUCUCACUUCUGCUUCUAUUUUCGAUUUGUGCUUUUUAUUUAAAAUAAGGUAUAAGGUACUGGAGAAAUAUGGAUUUAAAUCGCCGCCCUUUUUGAUUCUUUUUUUCUUUAAUCCGGGGGAUGAUCCAAAUAAACAGGUAUGGAAGCUAUAAUUGGAAACCACGAUCGAAUUUAUGGAAGCAUUGGUUUAUACAUUCCUCUUAGUCUCGACUCUAGGGAUCAUUUUUUUCGCUAUCUUUUUUCGAGAACCGCCUAAAGUUCCAACUAAAAAAACAAAAUGAUUUUUUUUUAUCUCAAUUGAAGUAAUGGGCCUCCCAAUAUUGGGAGGCCCAUUACUUCUACUUCAACUAGUCCCCGUGUUCCUCGAAUGGAUCUCUUAGUUGUUGAGAGGGUUGCCCAAAAGCAGUAUAUAAGGCGUACCCAGUAAAACUUACAAGUAACCCAGAUAUAGAGAUGGCGACUAGGGUUGCUGUUUCCAUUAUUAUAGAAUUUCAAGACCACACUGGAUCCAUGAUAAGAUCGUUUAUUUACAACGGAAUGGUAUACAAAGUCAACAGAUCUCAAUCAAUACAAAAUAGGAUUUAUGGCUACACAAACAGUUGAGGGUAGUUCUAGAGCUCGUCCAAAAAGAACUUCUGCAGGGGGGUUGUUGAAACCCUUGAAUUCGGAAUAUGGUAAAGUAGCUCCUGGAUGGGGAACUACUCCUUUGAUGGGAGUCGCAAUGGCUUUAUUUGCGGUAUUCCUAUCUAUUAUUUUGGAGAUUUAUAAUUCGUCCGUUUUACUGGACGGAAUUUCACUGAAUUAGAAUGAAAUUUACAAGAAUCACAAAAUACUACCUUUUAAAUAAGCAUUUAGGUAUCGGAUUUUGAUUUUCGUUGAUUGGUAGUUCGACCGCGAAUUUUUUAUUUCUGUAUUUCCGGAAUAUGAGUGUGCGACUUGUUCGAAUUGAUCCUAUUGAUAGUACAGAGCAUAGAUCUGUCGUCUUGAUCGAGAUGGCUUUACUCCGUCGGAUAUUCAUUCGAGUAUCUGGAGCACGGAAUAUAUGAAAUAGAUCACGAAGUAUUCGAACUAUGAUUCAUACUUAAUAUUCAGACCCCUUGGCCGGAUUCAAAAAAUUUUUCCAAAGACAAAAUUUGCAAUUGCAAGAUUUUUCUUCUUUCAAAUUCCCCAUUUCUGCUUUUAUUUUACUCAAAGCACAAAUUUGAAUAAAUGAUGAUCCAAGGAUUCUUACUCAUGGAAUCUUUGGACUUAGUUUGAAGGUUUUAUUGAAUCAUCGUGGUUCUAGUAUGAAUCUGAGGUUUCAAUUGAUUCAUAGGGUCUUAACAAGAAAAUUCCUAGCAAUAAUAAAGAAAACAAAAGUCAAGCUGCAUUACAUACAACUCAAAAUAACAAAUCAAAGAAAAUGAAAUAGGUAAAUAGAAGAUUCAAGAGGCCUGUAACGAUCAACAUAAAGAUAAGCGCGUCGACUUGAUUUUUUGGCAUUCUAAUUAUAACCACAAAGAAAAGCUUUCUUAUUUUUAUUCUUUCGUAUUUUUAGAUAAGAUUGAAUCAAAAAAUUAAGAAGUUUCCAAUUUUCUAUUCCAUACCAGUAUUGGGGUGGUUUUGUUUGAGCCGUACGAGAUGAAAUUCUCAUAUACGGUUCUCAGAGGGGAGUUCUCUUGGUUUACCUAUCUCAAUAAAGUCUACGAUUGGUUCGAAGAACGUCUCGAGAUUCAGGCGAUUGCAGAUGAUAUAACUAGUAAAUACGUUCCUCCUCAUGUCAACAUAUUUUAUUGUCUGGGAGGAAUUACGCUCACUUGUUUUUUAGUACAAGUAGCUACAGGGUUUGCUAUGACUUUUUACUACCGCCCGACCGUUACUGAGGCUUUUGCCUCUGUUCAAUACAUAAUGACGGAAGUUAACUUCGGGUGGUUAAUUCGAUCGGUUCAUCGAUGGUCGGCAAGUAUGAUGGUCCUAAUGACAAUCCUGCACGUAUUUCGCGUGUAUCUCACCGGGGGUUUUAAAAAACCUCGCGAAUUGACUUGGGUUACAGGUGUGGUUCUGGCUGUAUUGACCGCAUCUUUUGGUGUAACAGGUUAUUCUUUACCUUGGGACCAAAUUGGAUAUUGGGCAGUAAAAAUUGUAACAGGCGUGCCCGAAGCAAUUCCGGUAAUAGGAUCGCCUUUGGUAGAGUUAUUACGCGGAAGUGCUAGUGUGGGACAGUCCACUUUGACUCGGUUUUAUAGUUUACACACUUUUGUAUUACCUCUUCUUACUGCCGUAUUUAUGUUAAUGCAUUUCCUAAUGAUACGUAAACAAGGUAUUUCUGGCCCUUUAUAAAAUUAUACAAAAUCUAGAUUAUAGCGAUUUGUAAUCAACCCUUUAUCUUAUUGCUUGGGGGAGGAACAAUAAUAUUUCAUUGCUACAAAUAUGGAUUAUUGACAAAGAAUAAGACAUGGAGUUGGAAAUUUCCCCUCAACUCCAUAAUAUUGGACUUUUUAUUUGACAUGAAUGAAAUGAAUAGUUGACGGGAAUUCUCCGAAGAGAAAAUGGAUUAUGGGAGUGUGUGACUUGAACUAUUGAUUGGGCCGUGCAGAAAUAUGUCUUUAAUCUGCUACAUUGGAAUUCGCGACCAAAUGUGUCUUUGUUCCAACCGGCACCCCAUAGAGAGGAUAGGUUGGUUCGAUUGAAAAGAAUCUUUUCUAUGAUCAGCCCCAAGCAUGCCGCGCAUGAGCAGGCUCCGUAAGAUCCAGUAGAAUAAGCGAUGUGGCAUAAUCUAGAUUAUGUUUUCGCUAGAUUCUAGAUUACUUACUUAAUAGUAUGGAAAUGCAUUCAUUUCUUCUGCACCGAUCCCGAUUUAUGAUACUAUCGGAGUGAAACAAGGGGUCUAAAGAAGAGCAGCGGCUAGACUAUAUUAGUAACAAGUAAAUCCUUUGUACGCGAAAAAGAAAAAUCUCAGCUCGAUCUUUUUUUUUUUUUGUUUUUGGAUAAGGGUGAAUCACAAGGGCUGAGACGACCCAGAAAGCUCUUGAUCAUGAUCAAUUUUGUAAGCCUACUUGGGUAUGGAGCAUACACCUGUAAGAACCGAAUUCCUUGCAAUUGAUAGUUGAAACUUCGUAAAACGGAAUCCGGUAAUUUUACAUAUAGAAUCAUCCCGAUAUGCGUAAAAUAUAGAUUUUCGAAAAUCUAUAUUUCUUUUUUUAUCUAUUUCUUUUUUUAUAUGUAUCCUUUUAGUUUGGUUGAUUCUUGCUCGAGCCGGAUGAUGAAAAAUUAUCAUGUCCGGUUCUUUGGGGGGAUGGAUCUAUAAGAAUUCGCCUAUCCCAAUAACAAAAAAACCUGACUUGAAUGAUCCUGUAUUAAGGGCUAAGUUGGCUAAGGGUAUGGGUCAUAAUUAUUAUGGAGAACCCGCAUGGCCCAACGAUCUUUUAUAUAUUUUUCCAGUAGUAAUUCUAGGUACUAUUGCAUGUACCGUAGGCUUAGCGGUUCUAGAACCAUCAAUGAUUGGUGAACCCGCGGAUCCAUUUGCAACUCCUUUGGAAAUCUUACCCGAAUGGUAUUUCUUUCCCGUAUUUCAAAUACUUCGUACAGUACCCAAUAAGCUGUUGGGUGUUCUUUUAAUGGUUUCAGUACCUACGGGAUUAUUAACAGUACCUUUUUUGGAAAAUGUUAAUAAAUUCCAAAAUCCAUUUCGCCGUCCCGUAGCGACAACCGUCUUUUUGAUUGGGACCGCAGUGGCCUUGUGCUUGGGUAUUGGAGCAACAUUACCUAUUGAAAAAUCCCUAACUUUAGGUCUUUUUUAAAUUGAUUCAAUUGUAAAAUAUCAUGACGUGUGUAUCUAGGGAGUAGUCACUUCAAAGUAAAAGUGAAUUCUCCCUAGAUACUUCUAUUCAAUUUAAUUCCGGUCUGAAUAUAUAGACGGGUCUAAAGGUGCAAAGCCAUUUCAAUUUUCUCGUUUUUUUUUUUUUCGGUAAAUCAAUUGUGAAAUGCUUUUCUAUUUCUUUUCUAGAAUACUCAUUAUCUGCUUUACAUCCUCUAUGCGAAAGUGUUCAAUUUUCAUAAGGUCUUCUUGACGCGUAUUCAAAAGGUCGAAUAAUGUAUGUAUAUUGGACUUUUUGAGACAAUUAUAGAUCCUGGGAGACAUUUCUGAUUGGUCAAUAAAAAUCGAUUUCAAUGCGAUUUCUUUUUUCUUUUUCGUUAGUUUAGCCAAUCUAUCAUGAAAAGUAAAAAAGGGUAAAGUAACCUUGUAUUGAUUGUUCUCUAAAGGUAAGUUUUCGUCUUCUGCCUGGAGAAAGGGAAUAAAUAAAUCAAUCAAACUCCGGGAGGCUUCAUGAAGUGCUUCUUUAGGAGUUAAACUUCCGUUUGUCCAUAUUUCUAGAAAAAGGAUCUCUUGUUUUUCAUUGCCAUUCCCAUAAGACUGAAUACUAUGAUUCGCAUUUCGAACAGGCAUGAAUACAGCAUCGAUAGGAUAACAAUUUCCGUCUUGAAAGGUAUUUGGCGUUUUUAUAUUAUAUCCUCGACUCCUCUCGAUUUGUAAUCCAAUAGACAAAUCAAUUGGUUCUGUUAGGCUAGCUAUGUGCUGCGUAUUAUCAACGAUUUCCACAGAAGGCGGCAAGAGGAUGUCUUGAGCAGUUACAUAUCCCGGGCCUUUGACACAAAUAAGCGCGUCACAAGUUCCAUAAAGAUUACUUCUCAAUACAAUAUCUUUCAAAUUCAUUAAAAUUUCAUGUACCGAUUCUUGAAUACCCACUAUGGUAGAAUAUUCGUGUGGAAUUUUUUCAGAUUUUGCGCGUGUAAUACAUGUUCCUUCUAUUUCUCCAAGCAAAACUCUUCGCAUCGCAAUGCCUAUUGUGUCGGCUUGACCUUUCAUAAGUGGAGACAAAAUAAAGCGCCCAUAAUAAAGACGCUUACUGUCUGCUCUUGAUUCAACACACUUCCACUGUAGUGUCCGAGUAGAUACUUUUACUUUCUCUCGAACCAUAGUAAUAUUAUUUGUCAGAUCAUUGAGUCAUUUAUUUCUCUUGAAAUCUCUUCAAUGUUUAUUUCUACACCCGUCUUUUUUUAGGGGGUCUGCAACCAUUGUGUGGCAUAGGGGUUACAUCCCGUACGAAAUUUAAAAGGAUACCGCUUCUACGAAUAGCUCGUAAUGCCGCAUCUCUUCCGAGACCAGGACCCUUUAUCAUGACUUCUGCUCGUUGCAUACCUUGAUCCGCUACUGCUCGAAUAGCAUUUCCUGCUGCGGUUUGAGCAGCAAAAGGCGUACCUCUUCUUGUACCCCUGAAUCCACAAGUACCGGCCGAGGACCAAGAAAUUACCCGACCCCGGACAUCUGUAACAGUCACAAUGGUGUUGUUGAAACUUGCUUGAACAUGAAUAACGCCCUUUGGUAUUCGACGUCCACUUUUACGUGAACCGAUCCGUCCCGGCCUACGUGAACCACUUCGUGGUGGAGAUUUUGCCAUAUUUGAUCAUUUCAUAAAUAUAAGUCAGAGAUAUAUGGAUAUAUCCAUUUCAUGUCAAAACCGAUCUUUUAUGUUGAUUUGUUCAUCGGUUACUUUCUAAACUUUUCGAAAGAUUAUCCUUGUCUUUGUUUAUGUCUCGGGUUGGAACAAAUUACUAUAAUCCGUCCCCUCCUGCGGAUCAGUCGACAUUUUUCACAAAUUUUACGAACUGAAGCCCUUAUUUUCAUAAUUGUUAUUCCUUAAAUGAAUUUCGAAUCUCCUUAUUGGAAGUUGGAAGAAAAUAAGUUUCUUGAAAUUUUUGAACCGCGAUUUGUAUCCCCCUGAAAGGAAUGUUGAAAAAUCACCUAAUCACUCAAAUCCUUUUGUGUAGUCUAUAUAUUAUUAUUAUAUCCUCCAGUUGAAUCUGAAUCAUAACGACUUCCUUCAAUUUUGCCUCUAGCCACCGGGAGUAGAUGUAGAAAAACGGGUCGCAUCCCUCCUGAAACAUAAUCUAGAAUCUUACUUCGCUCUCUAAACUAUCUAAAAGAACCCGGAGCAUACCUUUGGUAAGUUAUUCGGUAAUUAAACCUCGAGGAAUCCUCCCUUUUUUUUUCUCACAACAUAAAAGUAAGCUCCAAAUACAAUUCGGAUAGCAGAAUAAUUACCAUAUAUAACACAAAAUUUCUCCACCGAUUCUUUCCAGUCGAGCCGCUCGGUCUGUCAUUAUACCCCGAGAAGUAGAGAGAAUUACAAUCCCCAUCCCAUCUAAAAUUCUAGGAAUUCGUCGAUAGUUAAAAUAGAUUCGUAGACCGGGUCGACUGAUUCGUUUUAAAUUUAAAAUGGGUCUAUACGGCCCUUUCCUAUUCCUUCGAUGUCGUAGGGUUAAAACCAAAAACUCUUUUUUGUUUUUGUUUUCCACGAGUUUCCUUGCGUUUUCGAUAAAACCCUCUCGCAAAAGGAUUUUAACAACGUUUUCGGUGAUGUUAGUAGAUGCUAUUCGAACCGUUCCCUUUCUAUUCAUGUCAGCAUUUCGUAUAGAAGUUAUUAUGUCAGCAAUAGUGUCCUUGCCCAUGAUAAACUGAAAAUUUUGUUGCUUCCAAAUUUUGAUAUAAUCAACAUGUUCUUUUUUUUAUGAAAAUUAUUAAAAGUAUAUGCGUGAGACAUACUCUACUAAAUUUUGAUUUAUCUAUUUUAUUUUCAUACUAUCACUAUAUCGCGGUCCCCUCUUAUAAUACUUCAGGUGCUAAUGAAACUAUUUUAGUAAAAUUCAACUGUCUCAAUUCCCGGGCGAUCGCACCAAAAACUCGAGUUCCCUUUGGAUUUCCUUCGUGAUCAAUGACAACUGCAGCAUUGUCAUCGUACCGUAUUAUCAUACCGUUAUCACGUCUGAGUUCUUUACAAGUACGUACAAUUACAGCUCUGAUCACUUCUGAUCUUUCUAGAGGCGUAUUGGGUACUGCUUCCUUGAUCACAGCAACAAUAACGUCACCAAUAUGAGCAUAUCUACGAUUACUGGCUCCUAUGAUUCGAAUACACAUCAAUUCUCGGGCACCGCUAUUGUCUGCUACAUUCAAAUGGGUUUGAGGUUGAAUCAUAUCGUUUUUUGAGUCCGUUUUUUUAAUGUUUAAUUUAAAGUAAAGCACUGAAAGGACGAAGUAAAAAAAAAAAGGGAAGACCCGCAUUUUUUAUACCCAAGAUUUAUUUCCUUUGUUUCGACAUUCCUAUCCCGAAAUAAUGAAUUGAGUUCUUAUAGGCAUUUUGGACGCCGCUAUUGAAAUAGCCUUUCGAGCUAUAUUUUCAGCUACUCCACUCAUUUCAUAAAGUAUUCUACCCGGUUUAACGACGGCUACCCAAUAUUCGGGGGAUCCUUUACCGGACCCCAUACGGGUUUCCGUGGGUCUUAGUGUAACGGGUUUGUCUGGAAAGAUACGUACCCAUAUUUUUCCACCGCGCCGUACAUUUCGUGUCAUUGCGCGGCGCCCCGCUUCGAUUUGUCUAGAUGUGAUCCAAGCGGGUUCAAGUGCUUGAAGAGCAUAUCUGCCGAAACAAAUAUGAUUACCUCGAUAAGAUAUCCCUUUCAUUCUUCCUCUAUGUUGUUUACGGAAUCUUGUUCUUUUGGGGUUAUAAUUGAUGGUUCUUUCUCAAUGCCAUCUCUACUACAGAACUGGACAUGAGAGUUUCUUCUCAUCCAGCUCCUCGCGAAUGAAAGGACUAAAAACGAUUUUAUCAAGAUAUAGGGGAAUUUAAUGAAUAAUAUACUGAAGCAUAGGAUUUUUUGAAAGUUCAUCUAAUUAAUCUAUUCUAAAUUUGUAUAUCAUGUUUAGAUAUAGAAUUGAAACAUUUAUGUUCUAUUUAUAGAUAAUCUCAAUGUCUUUUUUUUUUUUUUAUCGUUAUAACAAAUCUUUAUUUUGUUUUGCCCUUUACCAUAUCGGAUCGAGCAAAAUGAAUCAAUCCAAUAAAAUCAAAAAAUAAACCUUUCGCGGGCGAAUAUUUACUCUUUCAAUAUCUAUUUCAGUUGUAGGGUUAGUUCAUGACCUCUACGAAUAAAAGAAUAGUUUAGUUCCUGGGUUCGUUUCGCCAUCCCACCCAAUAAAUCAUUAAGAUUCAUUUCCAAUAGAAUCUUCUUUUUCUUUAUUCACGGGUUCCGUCGUUCCCAUUGCUUCUCGAUUAAUGGUUAGGUCUGAAUUCUCCAACGGAGCCCUUAAUGAAAUUUUUUCUUAAGUCAAUUUUCUCAGUUUUUAUUGGCUCGGGGCUCUUGAUUUUUUUUGUUCUAUGAGCGGAUUCAUCUAGUUAGGGAUGAAUCAUUAUUGAUGCUAUAUUACACUGUUUUUUAUGAGAUGACUUACAGACCUUACAUAUUGGAAUCUUAUAUCAUUGAUAUUUUCUUUCUCUCUUUCUCUCAUCCUUCCAUUUAUCCGCAUGCUUUUCGAUUUUCUUUCACAACUUCGAACUUCACAACCUACAAUCAGAUUGGGUUUUUAUGUUAUGCAAAUUUCAGUUGCUACAACGAUAUGACCACUAUAUUAUAUCUUGACUGGUUCUUUGGAUUCAGAUAAUACGAAGCAAUGAGUUGGUUAUUAGUGCUAUAGUUAUUAGUUCAUACUACAGGACGGUCCAUUUUUUGGAAUCCUAGCCCUAAAAAAAACCAACGAGUCGCACACUAAGCAUAGCAAUUAUAUAAAAAAAAAAAAAUCAAUCGAAUUUUUAUUCAACCCUAUAGAAUUGCGGAAUUUCUCAUUUUUGUUUUGAUUGAAGAUAAAAAGAGCUCGUUCUUUGUUUGGUUUAUUUCCAUUAAUGGGGGGGCUCUAAAGACCCGUAAACUCUUAUUUUUUUUCGUCUACAAAUAUCCAAAUUUUGAUUCCCAAUACCCCGUAGAUAGUUCGAACCGUAUAGGAACAAUAAUCAAUUUUAGCUCCAAUGGUUUGUAGAGGAACUCUACCUUCUCUGAUCCAUUCGGCGCGCGCAAUUUCUUUUCCGUCAAGACGCCCUGCAAUUUGUACUUGAAUUCCUUUUGUAUCGGCCUGUUCCGUUAAUUCAAUAGCUUUUUUCAUUGCUUUUCGAAAAGAAACUCUAUUUUUUAAUUGUCCGGCUAUAAAUUCGGCAAGAAUAUUGGGGUGUCCAUAAGGAUUUGUAAUUCGUGUAAUAGCAAUGUUUAUUUUUCGAUUCACACAAUUAAGUUCUUUUUGUACAUUCAUCUGUAAUUCUUCAAUUCUUCGCGGUCUAUUUUCUAGUAAUAAUUUUGGGAACCCUAUAUAGAUUAUAACUUGAAUUAGAUCAAUUCUUUUUUGAAUCUCUAUCCGUGCAAUUCCCUCAACACCGGAAGAUAUUCUGAUAUUUUUUUUUAUAUAAUUCUUAAUAAAGUUUCGUAUUUUUUGAUCUUCUUGUAGACCCUCGCAAUAGUUUUUUGGUUUUGCAAACCAAAGAGAAUGAUGACUUUGUGUUGUACCAAGCCGGAAACCUAGUGGAUUUAUUUUUUGUCCCAUAAUCCCCCAUUCCUAUAUGUAUCAUGACAUGUCAUAGUUUUUUUUUUCUUUUUUUUUUAUUUAUUAAUCUAGUGUUUUUUGAGCACUCGAGAUCGAGAUAGUCUCUAUAUUCAUAUUCAGCUAAGGAUAUAUCUUUUAAAACAAUAGUUAUAUGACAAGUGGGUUUUUUGAUCAGAUAACUCCGCCCUCGGGCUCGAGGUUUAAUCUUUUCGCAGUAGGACCCAUAGCUAUUCGCUUUAAUAAUGAAUAAACUUUUCGUUGAAAAGAUUGAAUACAUAUAAAUAAAAAACUAAAAUAAAAAAAAAAAAAAAAAAAAAAAAAAAAAAAAAAAAAAAAAAAAAAAAAAAAAAAAAAAAAAAAAAACUAUGACAUGUCAUGAUACAUAUAGGAAUGGGGGAUUAUGGGACAAAAAAUAAAUCCACUAGGUUUCCGGCUUGGUACAACACAAAGUCAUCAUUCUCUUUGGUUUGCAAAACCAAAAAACUAUUGCGAGGGUCUACAAGAAGAUCAAAAAAUACGAAACUUUAUUAAGAAUUAUAUAAAAAAAAAUAUCAGAAUAUCUUCCGGUGUUGAGGGAAUUGCACGGAUAGAGAUUCAAAAAAGAAUUGAUCUAAUUCAAGUUAUAAUCUAUAUAGGGUUCCCAAAAUUAUUACUAGAAAAUAGACCGCGAAGAAUUGAAGAAUUACAGAUGAAUGUACAAAAAGAACUUAAUUGUGUG